CACAAUGGGACUGAGACACGGCCCAUACUCCUACGGGAGGCAGCAGUGGGGAAUUUUACGCAAUGGGCGAAAGCCUGACGUAGCGACACCGCGUGAGCGAAGAAGCCCUUUGGGGUGUAAAGCUCUGUCGGCAGGGACGAAUAAAUGACGGUACCUGCAAAGGAAGCAUCGGCUAACUACGUGCCAGCCGCCGCAGUAACAC
This 202-nucleotide ribosomal RNA is filed under the name uncultured bacterium. RNAcentral describes it as "partial 16S ribosomal RNA". It matches the Rfam family "Bacterial small subunit ribosomal RNA", at positions 309 to 526 of the family's 1533-position model. The record is from RNAcentral.